RNAcentral lists this ribosomal RNA (497 nucleotides) under uncultured bacterium. RNAcentral's name for it is "partial 16S ribosomal RNA". It matches the Rfam family "Bacterial small subunit ribosomal RNA", at positions 28 to 507 of the family's 1533-position model. The record is from RNAcentral.
GAUGAACGCUGGCGGCGUGCCUAAUACAUGCAAGUCGAGCGAACGGACGAGAAGUUUGCUCCUCUGAUGUUAUCGGCGGACGGGACCGUCACAUGUGGUUAACCUACCUCUCCGACUGGGAUACUUUCGGGAAACCGGAGCUUAUACCGGAUGAUUUUUUGAACUGCAUGGUUCAAACGUUAAAGACGGUAUUGCUGUCACUAAUAGAUGGAUCCGCGCUGCAUUCGUUAGUUGGUAAGGUAACUGCUUACCAAGGCAACGAGGCAUAGACGACCUGAGAGGGUGAUCGGCCACACGGUAACUGAGACACGGUCCAGACUCCGACGGUAGGCAGCAGUAGAGAAUCUUCCGCAAUGGGCGAGAGCCUGACGGAGCAACGCCGCGUGAGUGAUGAAGGUCUUCUGAUCGGAAAACGCUGUUAGUAGUGAAGAACAAAUGUGUAAGUAACUGUGCACAUCUUGACGGUACCGAAUCAGAAAGCCACGGCUAACUACGUG